This 1561-nucleotide long non-coding RNA is filed under the name Solanum lycopersicum (tomato). RNAcentral's name for it is "long non-coding RNA (SLYC_LNC000285)". Lineage: Eukaryota; Viridiplantae; Streptophyta; Magnoliopsida; Solanales; Solanaceae. The record is from RNAcentral.
AAAAAAUUUAUUUUAUUUUUAGUGAAAAACUAGGCUCCAGAAAAACAUUCGCUAUUAAAUAUCACAAAAUAAAUUUUGAUAUAAAUUGUAUCUAAAAGAAUAACAGACACAAAUAAUAAUGCAAAAAAAUGUAUGAUACAUCUUUUAUUUUAUAUUAUUUUGUUAGCAAGAAAUAUUUUCUUUUUGUUCUGUUUUUUAGAUCGAGAGAAAAAAAAUCAUAACAUGAAUCACUGAUUGAUAUUACAUAAUAAUAACAUACGAUUCAAAGAACUUCAUAUUAUUAGAUGCAAAUUUUCAUGCAACAUUACAUGUUAAUAAUGCGAGAAUUUAGAGUUAUCUCACUGCGAAAAUGGAUAUCACGAAAAAUAACUUUUACGAUCUACUGAUUUGAGCCACGAAUUUAGAACCACGACAAAAAACUCUAACUCUAACCUAAUUCUCAAAAGAAUAACUCAUUUUUCUUCUCUUUGUGUUUGCUCUAUAUCUCUCUGUAUAUCUUUUUUUCAGCUGAGCGUGGGGUUAUAUAAUUUUGGCUGAGAGUCUGGUGCUAAUUAAAAGGAACGUAAUAGAGUUGGAUUAGGAUUUAAUUUAAAAAUUAGUUGAGAAAAUUGGGGUUGAGAUAAGGAUAUAAAAUAAAUAAAUAAUAAUAAUAGCAAAUUAGCAAAACAAAAUAAAUGAAAAAAAUUAUGUAAAGUUUAAAAAUAAUCGUUCAAAAGAAGUAAAAAAAAAUAAAAAUAAAUAGAUGGGAUGAGACUUUUUAGGAAAAUAAGUUAGGAAGUAGGGAAUAAUUAGGAUAAGGUAAAAAAAGUUUGAAAUUUUUAGGACUCCUCUUUUCUUUUCUUUUUUCUAUACUUUUUCAUAAUAUUUUCUAUAUUAUUAUUAUUUUUAGACUAGAUAUAAUUAAUAAAUAACUUAAAUUCCCAACUUCUAUUUAUCAAUUUUUUUUUAUUAUUAAACUAUAAUUGAUCUUAUAAUUUUUAUUAAUUUACAAUUUAUUAUUAUUAUUUUAUUUUAUUGUAAAUAUAAACCUUUUUAAAUUGGUGUAAAAUAUAUUAUAUUUUUGGUAAAAAAUUAGGUUUUCACAAUAUAUAUAUAUAUAUAUAUAUAUAUAUAUAUAUAUAUAUAUAUAUAUAUAUACAUACAUACACACACAUACAUACAUACAUACAUACACACACAUAAAAAAUUAGGUUUUCACAAUAUAUAUAUAUAUAUAUAUAAUAUAUAUAUAUAUAUAUAUAUAUAUACAUACACACACAUACAUACAUAUAUACAUACAUUUUGCUAUAAUUUUACAUACAUACUAAUUUUUUCAUGCAACAGAGACUUAUGGAUAUUAUAACAAAAUCAAGAUUUGUAUUUGACAUUUUCAUAAGCAAAAUAAGCAGGAAUCGAGACAAAACAUGCAUACAAUCUGAGAUCCCAAGAAUAACAACACCAAAUCACACAAUUAACAAUGUAAUGUGCAAUAAUAGUGCAACAGGAUCAAAUCGAACAUGUAAAAGCCAAGAUUUCUGACAUAAUAGCCAAAGAUGCAACUAAAAAAAAAUUUAGAUUAAGG